GUCAGGAUGGAGUAUGAUUCUCACGGGGGGAGAAGCAGGAGCCACAGGAGAUACGAGGAGGAUGAUGAGCCCCAGCCGGUGUACAUCGGAGUCCCUGUGUCUCAUGGCAACAGACGGAAGCGCCGCAGACAUCGCUCCCACACCAGCGAGGCCGACCGUGAGAGGAGACACACACACCACGACGAGCAUGGCCACGCGCCGUACGACCCUCGACAUGACCGAGACGACCGCUACGAGGAGGAGGAGCAGGAGCAGCUGAACAUCGACUCCACAGUGUCCCCGGCGGCAGAGAGGCUGCGCUACAUCCUGGCAGAUGAUGACGAUGUUCAGACGCCCACCAUCUUCACUGAGAUGGACACGCUCCAACACGAGGGAGGGGAGUUGGAGUGGAAAGAGUCCGCCAGGUGGGUGAAGUUUGAGGAGAAGGUGGAGGAGGGAGGGGAGAGAUGGAGCAAGCCUCACGUCUCCACCCUGACCUUACACAGUCUGUUUGAGCUGAGAACAUGUCUGCAGACUGGUAGUGUUCUGUUGGAUCUGGAAGGGUACUCCCUUCCACAGAUUGUCGAUGACAUCGUGGAUCACCAGAUAGCAGACGGGUUGAUUGGUGAAGAGUUGAGAGAGAAGAUCACCUUCGUGUUGCUGAGGAAACAUCGGCACCAGACCAAGAAGCCCAUGCACCGCUCCCUGGCAGACAUGGGCAAGUCGUCCAACUCCCCGGCCCCUGCCAGCCGUAGUCCUCAGGUGAACUUGAGCCGCUCUCCCAGCUCUGCGUCUGGGAUGAACCGCUCCAUCGAGGACCUGCGCUCACGCCAGUCAGGCAGCUACGGCCGCCUGCACCACGCUCAGAGCAGAAGCAUGAACGACAUUUCAGACACACCCAGCAACGACCAGCUCAAGAACAAGUUCAUGAAGAAGAUCCCACGCGAUGCCGAGGCCUCAAACGUCCUCAUCGGAGAGGUGGACUUCCUGGACAAACCCUUUGUGUCUUUUGUGCGUUUGGCUCAAGCCACGACUCUGGGAGGCCUGACUGAGGUCCCCGUUCCAACCAGGUUUCUGUUCGUCCUGCUGGGUCCUCACGGCAAAGCCAAGGCCUACAAUGAGAUCGGCAGAGCUAUUGCUACGCUCAUGGUGGACGAUCUGUUCAGUGAUGUGGCGUAUAAAGCGAGAGACCGUGAUGAUCUGAUCGCCGGUAUCGACGAGUUCCUGGACGAAGUGAUCGUCCUUCCUCCGGGGGAAUGGGACCCCAAGAUCCGCAUCGAGCCCCCCAAGAAAGUUCCCUCGGCUGACAUGAGGAAGUCUGUGUUAAACCUGAACGAGCUGGGUAAGGUGAACGGCGCGGCCGGGGGUGCAGGGGGUGGGGAGGACGAGGAGAUGCCCGCCCCCCACGAACUGGGAGAGGAGCUGGCCUUCACCGGAAGGUUCUGUGGAGGCCUGUGGCUGGACAUCAAGAGGAAAGGGCCGUGGAUCCCUAGCGAUUUCUACGAGGGCUUCCACAUCCAGUCCAUCUCAGCCGUGCUAUUUAUCUACUUGGGCUGCAUCACUAACGCCAUCACCUUUGGAGGGUUGCUAGGAGACGCAACUGACAACUACCAGGGGGUGAUGGAGAGUUUCCUGGGCACAGCUCUGGCGGGGACUGUCUUCUGCCUGUUCGGAGGCCAGCCCCUCAUCAUCCUCAGCUCCACCGGGCCCAUCCUUAUCUUCGAGAAGUUGCUCUAUGAGUUUAGCAAGUCUAACAGCAUAGACUACAUGGAGCUGCGUUUGUGGAUCGGGCUGCACUCCUGCCUCCAGUGUCUGAUCCUGGUUGCCACGGACGCCAGCUACAUCAUCAAGUACAUCACCCGCUUCACGGAGGAAGGCUUCUCCAGCCUCAUCUCCUUCAUCUUCAUCUCCGACGCCAUUAAGAAGAUGGCGGGAUCUUUCAAGUACUACCCAAUCAACCGUGGCUUCAAGCCGGACUAUGUCACGUCCUACAGGUGUGAAUGCAUCGCUCCGGACCAGGCCCUACUAGCAGAUGACAACAUGACUCUGUUGUAUAACCUCACAGGGCUGGACUGGAGUCAGCUAAGCAAGAAGGAGUGUGUGAAGUAUGGAGGCGCCCUGGUGGGGAACUCCUGUAAGUACGUCCCAGACCUGGCCCUCAUGUCCUUCAUCCUGUUCUUCGGCACAUACUCCAUGACCGUCUCCCUCAAGAAGUUCAAGUUCAGCCGCUACUUUCCCACCAAGCUAAGAAAGCUGAUCAGUGAUUUCUCUAUCUUCAUGUCAAUCAUGACCUUUGUGGGUCUGGAUAUGUUGAUUGGGCUCAAAACUCCCAAACUCAUUGUUCCAACAGAGUUCAAGCCCACGCGCCCAGACCGCGGCUGGCUCGUGAUGCCGUUCGGUAAGAACCCGUGGUGGGUCUACGUGGCGAGUUCUGUCCCGGCUCUGCUCGUCACCAUCCUCAUCUUCAUGGACCAGCAGAUCAGCGCCGUCAUCGUCAACCGCAAAGAAAACAAACUCAAGAAGGGCUGUGGGUACCACCUGGACCUGUUCUGGGUGGGCGUCCUGAUGGCCGCUUGCUCCUUCAUGGGCCUGCCAUGGUACGUGGCCGCCACCGUCAUCUCCAUCGCCCACAUCGACUCUCUGAAGAUGGAGAGCGAGUCCAGCGCCCCUGGGGAGCAGCCCCAGUUCCUGGGGGUCCGGGAGCAGAGACUGACAGGCAUUCUAGUGUUCGUCCUGACUGGAGUGUCCAUCUUCCUGGCUCCGGUUCUACAGUACAUCCCCAUGCCUGUUCUCUAUGGAGUGUUCCUUUACAUGGGCGUGGCUUCCCUCAGUGGCAUCCAGUUCUGGGAGCGUAUCAAGCUGUAUCUGAUGCCAGCCAAGCACCAGCCAGACUUCUCCUUCCUGCGCCAUGUUCCUCUCAGACGAGUCCACCUCUUCACCCUGGUCCAGGUCAUCUGUCUGGCCGUCCUCUGGAUCCUCAAGUCCACCGUGGCCGCUAUCAUCUUUCCCAUCAUGAUCCUGGGCCUCAUGGUGGUGAGGAAGAUGCUGGACUUCAUGUUCUCCCAGCACGACCUAGCCUGGCUGGACGACAUCCUGCCGGAGAAAGACAAGAAGAAGGAUGGCGAGAAGAAAAACAAGAAGAGCAAAAAUAAAGACAAGAAAGGAGCAGACCCAGAGAGCGACGAGGAGCCCAAGAGUCCCCCCCCUCCUCCAGUGAAGAUUCCCAUGGAGGCCUUGAACCCGCCUACGGACACGACUCCACCCUCUGUAACUCCUCCCACCCCAACCCCAGCCUCUGACUGACAAGAACCCUUACUCCAGCGUUCCUGACGAUGCAGAGCUGGACCGCAGGUACUGUGUGCUCAAACUGCACGUACCCUACAGCGACCUGAUGACCCCCCCUGACACACACACCGACUGGGGCGCACACUGCCAGCUGGACAAAUUCUACAACUACUGACCUUAACCUCGCAUCUUCACACUCAGAUACACAAACGCACAUGCACUCCUGUACAGAAUCACCACCCCCAGAUUAAGGCCCAGGCCUCUUGGUGUGUCUCAAUGUUUUAUCACGGUAGUUUCGUUCAUAGAUCGCUCCGUAGCUUCCAGGUAUUACCCUCAUCGGCUAACCAGUAGGAUCUCUUGGCAUUGUUUUUAGCAUGCGUUUAAUGUCUAGAUCUGAAAAUGCCACGUAGAACUAGUGAGAUCGCUGGCUAUUCACGGUAUCAUGGAAAUGUAGUUGUUUUAUGAAGUAUCGCCUUUAGUCAAUCACUUUGUACAUAUGUCUUGUUCUUAACCAUCGUCUAUCUGUCAUGACACAUGACAUUAACAUACUGCCCAGCAAAGGACCUUCCACCCGGUCAUACAAUUAUGUAAAUACCAGAAACACCAGAAAGAUGUACAUAUUUAUUCUUUAACAUAGAGUGUAAGGCCCUCCUAACAACCUUAAAUUAUAGAUUAUAAACAUAAAUCAACAAGGACUGAAGAGAGAUUUUCUGCCAACGUGAUUGGAUGGAUUUCCCAGGUAUACCUCGGCAGUGAGUCCAGCCAUUGGUGCUCUAUCACUUCCCCUCCGCAUGCAGCGGAAAGCAAAGCCACUCAAACCAAGUUUUUGUUUGUUUGACAAUUGUCAAUUUAUGUUGUACUUAUUAACCCGAAUGUAGUGGUGGAGAGAGACUAGCUCAACUACUGAUGCAGAUCUAUGGAUUUAGUUAUUCCUUAACUAAACGUGGGUGAAUUCUAUCGUAUACAUCGUUCAUAUACAUUUAUGACUUCUGAUGAGGCCUGGCCUCUAUAUCUUGUUGUGUGUUAAGUGUUGUUAAGCGUGAAGUCUAUCAUCCCACAGAGAGCAGUGGUCACGAGAACGGCAGGGGUGGAACGCUUUUGAAUGCAUUACGUAUAUUGCUCAGUAUACAUGUCAUGUAUACUGAGGAUAUUAUGAUGGUUUAUCUGGAGAAAAGCCAGUAGGGUCUUUUGUAACUCCCACUGCCUCUCUCUGUUCCUGUCACUGGUGUCUGUGGGUGGGUGACGUCAGGUCACGGUGUUCACUGAAGUCUGUCCGUGAAAACGAAACACUAGACGUUUCUCAGCUCUGUCCGCCAGUCAGAUGACGGAGAGUCAGAUGACAGUUUAACAUGAAAAUGUAGUGAUUUUGGUUGUUUCUUUUUCAAGGGGCCAAAGCGUUUUUGUGCGUGUACAUGUUGCGUUACAUUCUAACGCUUUCGUUUGAAACUUCGUCUCGUUGUAUAGUGUCACAGCCCCCCUUUCCAUCCACAGUCUCCGCCUGUUCCUGCGUCCUCUACCCUAGCGCUCCAGUAUCCCACCCUCCACUCAGUGGAAGAUGUGUGCACGUGUGUGUGCUUCUUCACACAUCAAUAGUUUGCAUGUGCAUGUAUUUGUGCAAACUUGUUUUUCCUUUUAUGUUGCGAGGUGGUGUCCUGUUUAGCGCAAACAAUUUGUACAUGCUCUUGCAUUGCUGUUCAAGGAGGAUGAUUAGAACGUUUGAUGAAGUAAUUUUUGUGGCAAAAUAAGAACUUGAAUUCAACAAUACAGUCUUAAUUUUGACAUAACUACAUUUUAUAAAUAAUAGAUGUUGAUGUAUUUCUUUGAAAACAAUUGUUUCUAGUAAUGCAGUAAAAUAAAUAAUAUGAGAUAAUAGUGCUAAUUUAGUAAAUAAUUCGUAUAAAAAAAAGAAUUACAAAUAGAAGAAUUAUAGCAUUUAUAUUUGUUAAUAAAAACGAUUUUUACUAAUAAUGAGAUCUAUUUUUGUUUUUCACAACACAAGCAAUGAAGUAAUUCACCUCAUGAUCACAUGUCCUAAUUCCUGUAUCUUUCCCUUUCUGUCUUUCACUAAACUUUUCCAUUCAACCUGUCUUUCCUUUUGUACGUUCUUACCUGCUCUCCUGCUGUGUCCUGUUUCCUUGCAGUCCACUGUGUCUGAACUUGGUUGUGCUUUUUGUCCGUGCGAGUAUCCGUGUGUGUGUGUGUGUGCGCACGUGCAUGUGUGCAUGCAUGCUCAGUAAAGAGACGCAGGUGUAACCUGGGCUGUUCCAACACUGUUCCUCAGAAUCACUCUGCACCUGAAGAUAUCCUGCCCCCCCUCACCUGCUCACUCCCAGGUGAGCGUUUCCCCCGGAGAUACUCGACCCUCACAGCACUUGCCACCACGCCCACCUGUGCCCCAGGUCAACAUCCAGAUGGAUUCAGACAACGAGUCUGACCUUUACCCCUGGGGUCAAACCCUCUCCCCCAGGAUUAGCUAUUACCCUAGUGACCAGUACCAAAGGUCAAAUGCUCAUAGCGACACAUACCGCAGAUCUCAUUCUCAGCUGCAGGAACUGGGAAGUGAAACUGUAUUGUAGCCUAAAUGGACAGGGAAAUCCCAUCGUCGAACCCUAUGUUUAGAUACAUUUACCUGUGUUCAAAUCGAUGACCCGUGCGUACAGUGGCAGGUAUACUGAAAAAUGAUUAUGAAGUCCACAAUGACAUCACCUGAUUCUGAUUCACCAGCAUGUGCAGUGAGACAAACUCAACAGCUUAACAAGGUCUGAACAUAUAACAAGUUUGUCUAUAAAAUCAGGUCUCAACCAUAUUUAUGUAAGACAAUUGCCAUUUAAUAUACCUUUAAUGUACCUUUAGAUUCCGUGAAAGGACAGAUACACUUCAUACUUUGUUUAGAUCUGGUUUGUAAAAAGAACGAUGAAAGAAAGAGAAACAACCAAAAAUUUAGCUUUUAAUUCUACAUACAUUUCUUAACACUACGUAGCUUAAUACAAAAUGUUUCCUGCAUUGUAAUAUUAAAUAUAACAUUUAUUGUUGUUUAUUGCAUUUAGUGGAAAGUUAAGUAGGUAUUUUGUUGUAUACACUCUAAGCCUUUGUGAAUGUGUGUGCUUUGACUGCUCAAUGUGCGAUGUUGAUUGAGAGUAAAUACUUCUGAUUGUAAAGAAACGCAAAUCCUUGUAAAGUAAUAAAAUAGCAUUGAAAAAAGGUUGCCUGUGUGGAUGUGUGAAGCUCAUGUUUGUGACUGGUUUGUGUCUCAAUACAACCUCAACCCAUAAGUACAAACUUUUUUUCUGCAUCAUGAACAUCCGUGGUU
This is an RNA transcript of Osmerus eperlanus (European smelt), 6574 nucleotides long. It is a transcript of the gene named electrogenic sodium bicarbonate cotransporter 4-like, with no coding region annotated. The transcript is spliced from 27 exons. NCBI's taxonomy places the organism in Eukaryota, Metazoa, Chordata, Actinopteri, Osmeriformes, Osmeridae. The record is from RefSeq and is a predicted model, not a curated record.